This 408-nucleotide ribosomal RNA is filed under the name uncultured bacterium. RNAcentral's name for it is "partial 16S ribosomal RNA". It matches the Rfam family "Bacterial small subunit ribosomal RNA", at positions 28 to 526 of the family's 1533-position model. The record is from RNAcentral.
GACGAACGCUGGCGGCGUGCUUAACACAUGCAAGUCGAACGAAGUGGCGAACGGGUGAGUAACGCGUAAUCAACCUGCCCUUCAGAGGGGGACAACAGUUGGAAACGACUGCUAAUACCGCAUACUGAAGGAGGGGAUUGCGUCUGAUUAGCUAGUGGGGGGGGUAACGGCCCACCAAGGCGAUGAUCAGUGGCCGGGCUGAGAGGAUGGACGGCAAACUUGGGAAUGAGGAACAGCCCAGACUCCUUCGGGAGGAAGCAGUAGGGAAUCUUCCGCAAUGGAGGAAAGUCUGACGGAGCAACGCCGCGUGAGUGAUAACGGCCUUCGGGUUGUAAAGCUCAGUUAAUCGGGACGCGGUACCGGCAUAAAAAGCCACGGCUAACUACGUGCCAGCAGCCGCGGUAAUUC